This 442-nucleotide ribosomal RNA is filed under the name uncultured bacterium. RNAcentral describes it as "partial 16S ribosomal RNA". It matches the Rfam family "Bacterial small subunit ribosomal RNA", at positions 338 to 795 of the family's 1533-position model. The record is from RNAcentral.
CCUACGGGAGGCAGCAGUGGGGAAUAUUGGGCCAUGGGCGAAAGCCUGACCCAGCAACGCCGCGUGAAGGAAGAAGGCUUUCGGGUUGUAAACUUCUUUUGACAGGGAAGAGCAGAAGACGGUACCUGUCGAAUAAGCCACGGCUAACUACGUGCCAGCAGCCGCGGUAAUACGUAGGUGGCAAGCGUUGUCCGGAUUUACUGGGGGUAAAGGGCGUGUAGCCGGGCUGACAAGUCAGAUGUGAAAUCCGGGGGCUCAACCCCCGAACUGCAUUUGAAACUGUUGGUCUUGAGUAUCGGAGAGGCAGGCGGAAUUCCUAGUGUAGCGGUGAAAUGCGUAGAUAUUAGGAGGAACACCAGUGGCGAAGGCGGCCUGCUGGACGACAACUGACGGUAAGGCGCGAAAGCGUGGGGAGCAAACAGGAUUAGAUACCCUUGUAGUC